Molecule: long non-coding RNA, 142 nt
Organism: Herpailurus yagouaroundi (jaguarundi)
Lineage: Eukaryota; Metazoa; Chordata; Mammalia; Carnivora; Felidae
Exons: 3
Source: RefSeq, a predicted model, not a curated record
GUACACGACGCUCUUCCGAGCUGGGGGAGGGGUUAAGGAACAGGGAAAUGGGGUGAAGCGGGAGGUAGGUUCUGCUGAAGCCGCUCAUGGGUGCAGGUGAGUAGGCGGUGAGGCCGGGGAGAUGGGGCGAGGGGCACUGGUU